RNAcentral lists this ribosomal RNA (340 nucleotides) under Clostridioides difficile. RNAcentral describes it as "bacterial SSU rRNA". It matches the Rfam family "Bacterial small subunit ribosomal RNA", at positions 210 to 567 of the family's 1533-position model. The record is from RNAcentral. Lineage: Bacteria; Bacillati; Bacillota; Clostridia; Peptostreptococcales; Peptostreptococcaceae.
GUGAGCCAGUACAGGAUGGACCCGCGUCUGAUUAGCUAGUUGGUAAGGUAACGGCUUACCAAGGCGACGAUCAGUAGCCGACCUGAGAGGGUGAUCGGCCACAUUGGAACUGAGACACGGUCCAAACUCCUACGGGAGGCAGCAGUGGGGAAUAUUGCACAAUGGGCGAAAGCCGGAUGCAGCAACGCCGCGUGAGUGAUGAAGGCCGUCGGGUCGUAAAACUCUGUCCUCAAGGAAGGAAAUGUCGGUACUUGGGGAGGAAGCCCCGGUUAACUACGUGACAGCAGCCUCGGUAAUACGUAGUGUGCUAUCGUUAUCCGGAUGUACUGGGCGUAAAGGG